CAGUAGCCGCGGGAAUACGGAGGAUCCGAGCGUUAUCCGGAAUCAUUGGGUUUAAAGGGUCCGUAGGCGGUCUUGUAAGUCAGUGGUGAAAGCCCAUCGCUCAACGGUGGAACGGCCAUUGAUACUGCAGGACUUGAAUUAUUGGGAAGUAACUAGAAUAUGUAGUGUAGCGGUGAAAUGCUUAGAGAUUACAUGGAAUACCAAUUGCGAAGGCAGGUUACUACCAAUUGAUUGACGCUGAUGGACGAAAGCGUGGGUAGCGAACAGGAUUAGAUACCCGCGUAGUCCCUGUCUCUUAUAA
RNAcentral lists this ribosomal RNA (301 nucleotides) under uncultured bacterium. Its description in RNAcentral is "partial 16S ribosomal RNA". It matches the Rfam family "Bacterial small subunit ribosomal RNA", at positions 509 to 809 of the family's 1533-position model. The record is from RNAcentral.